GACGAACGCUGGCGGCGUGCUUAACACAUGCAAGUCGAACGGAAAGGCCCUGCUUUUGUGGGGUGCUCGAGUGGCGAACGGGUGAGUAACACGUGAGUAACCUGCCCUUGACUUUGGGAUAACUUCAGGAAACUGGGGCUAAUACCGGAUAGGAGCUCCUGUUGCAUGGUGGGGGGUGGAAAGUUUCGGCGGUUGGGGAUGGACUCGCGGCUUAUCAGCUUGUUGGUGGGGUAGUGGCUUACCAAGGCUUUGACGGGUAGCCGGCCUGAGAGGGUGACCGGCCACAUUGGGACUGAGAUACGGCCCAGACUCCUACGGGAGGCAGCAGUGGGGAGUAUUGCACAAUGGGCGGAAGCCUGAUGCAGCAACGCCGCGUGCGGGAUGACGGCCUUCGGGUUGAAAACCGCUUUCGCCUGUGACGAAGCGUGAGUGACGGUAAUGGGUAAAGAAGCACCGGCUAACUACGUG
RNAcentral lists this ribosomal RNA (468 nucleotides) under uncultured bacterium. RNAcentral's name for it is "partial 16S ribosomal RNA". It matches the Rfam family "Bacterial small subunit ribosomal RNA", at positions 28 to 507 of the family's 1533-position model. The record is from RNAcentral.